Molecule: ribosomal RNA, 374 nt
Filed under: uncultured bacterium
Lineage: Bacteria
Description: bacterial SSU rRNA
Rfam family: Bacterial small subunit ribosomal RNA
Source: RNAcentral
GACGAACGCUGGCGGCGUGCUUAACACAUGCAAGUCGAGCGGUAAGGCCCUUUCGGGGGUACACGAGCGGCGAACGGGUGAGUAACACGUGGGUGACCUGCCCUCAGCUCUGGGAUAAGCCUGGGAAACCGGGUCUAAUACCGGAUAUGACUCCAUGACGCAUGUUGUGGGGUGGAAAGCCUUGUGCGGCUGAGGAUGGGCCCGCGGCCUAUCAGCUUGUUGGUGGGGGAUGGCCUACCAAGGCGACGGCGGGUAGCCGGCCUGAGAGGGCGACCGGCCACACUGGGACUGAGACACGGCCCAGACUCCUACGGGAGGCAGCAGUGGGGAAUCUUGCGCAAUGGGCGAAAGCCUGACGCAGCGACGCCGCGUGA